AGGACGAACGCUGGCGGCGUGCUUAACACAUGCAAGUCACGGGGGCUGGCUGGGCAACUGGCCAGUAACCGGCGAACGGGUGCGUAACACGUGAGCGCCCUGCCUUAUUGAGGGGGAUAGCCGGCCCAACGGCCGGGUAAUACCGCAUACGCUUGAGUGGGGGCAUCCCUGUUCAAGGAAACCUCCGGGGCGAUAAGAGGGGCUCGCGGCCUAUCAGCUAGUUGGUGAGGUAACGGCUCACCAAGGCGAUGACGGGU
RNAcentral lists this ribosomal RNA (257 nucleotides) under uncultured soil bacterium. RNAcentral's name for it is "partial 16S ribosomal RNA". It matches the Rfam family "Bacterial small subunit ribosomal RNA", at positions 26 to 284 of the family's 1533-position model. The record is from RNAcentral.